RNAcentral lists this ribosomal RNA (501 nucleotides) under uncultured Desulfobulbus sp. RNAcentral's name for it is "bacterial SSU rRNA". It matches the Rfam family "Bacterial small subunit ribosomal RNA", at positions 903 to 1382 of the family's 1533-position model. Lineage: Bacteria; Pseudomonadati; Thermodesulfobacteriota; Desulfobulbia; Desulfobulbales; Desulfobulbaceae. The record is from RNAcentral.
GCCCGCUCAGAAACUUAAAUAGAAUUGACGGGGCCCGCACAAGCGGUGGAGUAUGUGGUUUAAUUCGAUGCAACGCGAAGAACCUUACCUGGUCUUGACAUCCCGGAGACCCUUAGGAAACUAGGGGUGCUUCCAUCUGGAAGAAUCUGGAGACAGGUGCUGCAUGGCUGUCGUCAGCUCGUCGUCGUGAGAUGUUGGGUUAAGUCCCGCAACGAGCGCAACCCUUGCCUUUAGUUGCCAGCAGUUCGGCUGGGCACUCUAAAGGGACUGCCGGUGUUAAACCGGAGGAAGGUGGGGAUGACGUCAAGUCCUCAUGGCCUUUAUGACCAGGGCUACACACGUACUACAAUGGCCGAUACAAAGGGCAGCGACACUGCGAGGUGAGGCCAAUCCCGUAAAAUCGGUCUCAGUCCGGAUUGGAGUCUGCAACUCGACUCCAUGAAGUUGGAAUCGCUAGUAAUCGUGGAUCAGCAUGCCACGGUGAAUACGUUCCCGGGCCUU